GACGAACGCUGGCGGCGUGCCUAAUACAUGCAAGUUGAGCGCUGAAGGUUGGUACUUGUACCAACUGGAUGAGCAGCGAACGGGUGAGUAACGCGUGGGGAAUCUGCCUUUGAGCGGGGGACAACAUUUGGAAACGAAUGCUAAUACCGCAUAAAAACUUUAAACACAAGUUUUAAGUUUGAAAGAUGCAAUUGCAUCACUCAAAGAUGAUCCCGCGUGGUAUGAGCUAGUUGGUGAGGUAAAGGCUCACCAAGGCGAUGAUACAUAGCCGACCUGGGAGGGUUAUCGGCAACAUUGGGGCUGAGGCACGGCCCAAAAUCAUACGGGAGACAGCAGUAGGGAAUCUUCGGAAAUGGACGAAAGUCUGACCGAGCUACGCCGAGUGAGUGAAGAAGGUUUUCGGAUCGUAAAACUCUGUUGGUAGAGAAGAACGUUGGUGAGAGUGGAAAGCUCACCAAGUGACGGUAACUACCCAGAAAGGGACGGCUAACUACGUG
This 497-nucleotide ribosomal RNA is filed under the name uncultured bacterium. Its description in RNAcentral is "partial 16S ribosomal RNA". It matches the Rfam family "Bacterial small subunit ribosomal RNA", at positions 28 to 507 of the family's 1533-position model. The record is from RNAcentral.